CCUACGUGAGGCAGCAGUGAGGAAUAUUGGUCAAUGGGCGCGAGCCUGAACCAGCCAAGUAGCGUGAAGGAUGACUGCCCUACGGGUUGUAAACUUCUUUUAUAAAGGAAUAAAGUGAGGCACGUGUGCCUUUUUGUAUGUACUUUAUGAAUAAGGAUCGGCUAACUCCGUGCCAGCAGCCGCGGUAAUACGGAGGAUCCGAGCGUUAUCCGGAUUUAUUGGGUUUAAAGGGAGCGUAGAUGGGUUGUUAAGUCAGUUGUGAAAGUUUGCGGCUCAACCGUCAAAUUGCAAUUGAUACUGGCAGUCUUGAGUACAGUUGAGGUAGGCGGAAUUCGUGGUGUAGCGGUGAAAUGCUUAGAGAUCACGAAGAACUCCGAUUGCGAAGGCAGCUUACUAAACUGCCACUGACAUUGAUGCUCGAAAGUGUGGGUAUCAAACAGGAUUAGAUACCCUUGUAGUC
This 460-nucleotide ribosomal RNA is filed under the name uncultured bacterium. Its description in RNAcentral is "partial 16S ribosomal RNA". It matches the Rfam family "Bacterial small subunit ribosomal RNA", at positions 338 to 795 of the family's 1533-position model. The record is from RNAcentral.